CGGAAGGAGGGUGAUUGAUCAGUGCGCUGUUCCCGGCGCUCUGUCCCGUUAUUAGAGGCGGCCAAAGCAGGGCCACGCAAUAACCUCGGAAUCGCCAACUAAUUGACGCUGCAGGCAACUACUUCAUUGUGCGCGCUGGUUUUAUGUCUUCAUAGCCGGUGAUUGACAAGGUGUAAUUAGUCAUCUCACUCGGUGAUAAACAUGGGCACCCUCCUCCCGCGGCAUCAGGCCGUGUGUACCAGCAGAGGAAGCGAUAGUUGACGCUGAUAUACCAUUAAAUCAAAAUGAAGACGUUCAGAAGUGUGUGUUUGCUGUGACGCUCUGAUGGUUUAUUUCUCAAAUACGGCACCAACAGAUUUACUUGAUUUGCAAGUUAACUACAACAUUAACUGGUUUUAUUUAUUUUGCCUCUUCUUUCCUUUUCCUAGGCAGGGAUGUUGCUCUUGGAGAAUGUGAAGACAGUUUGCUUCUUGACAAGCGAGCGAACGGGCGCCCAGAUUUUUGCAGCCUCUCGAAUCUCCCCCGAGGGAAAGGCAGGAAGAGAAAACGCCUGAUUUGGGAGCCACCAGGGAAGGAUUCCGCAUAGGGGGAGCCACCCUCUUUGGCCCCAGAACGGCCUGCCUGGGGGCCCCCUUUGGGCACCGCCAAAGGACCUCCUGAAACACUGAGGAUGGCGCUGGAGACUGGGGUGGGAAAGCCUCUUGGAUAAUAACUGCAAAGUAGAAAGAGGCCAAAACAACUGUUUCUUCUCUGCCUUAGAGCAAGAAGAACUGCGUCCUUAAAGCUGUUGGCUGCAGUCACAGGGCGAGUGUAACAUCUCCUGUUCUCAGGGUUACACCACUCAGCAAAUUAUUCUCCUUGCUUGCGAAGUGGGUCUUGCUUGGGGGGGGGGGGCGGUGUACGAAGUGGGAGGGGGGGAGGUGUGUGUGUGUUUAUGGGGGUGUGUCCCUCUACAGUGAGGCUGCUGCUGGAGGGGCUGGUUAUUCAUUUCAGAAACCUGGUGGUUUAAAUGUUAAAAAGGGAAGGAGCAUUGCUGGUUGGGAUUGCUGUGGUCUGUCUUGACCCUAAUUCUGGUUAGAGAAUGGCAGGGACUGAACAAAGCCACCGACAUCUGAAAGUCCACUUCCAAUGUCCCACAUAUGCCCCCAGGAACCUCCCAGUGGGAUAAGCUUCCUGCACUUUCCUUUCUCUCUAACCCCUGUCUCACAUUUGUAUAGCAGGAAAAUGGUGAUUCCUUGCCACCACCACCGUGCAGGAAUGUGAGGUUGUAGACAUCUCCAAGAAGAGAUGG
This 1291-nucleotide long non-coding RNA is filed under the name Sus scrofa (pig). RNAcentral's name for it is "lncRNA (ENSSSCG00015039579.1)". Lineage: Eukaryota; Metazoa; Chordata; Mammalia; Artiodactyla; Suidae. The record is from RNAcentral.